AAAAUCCGGGGGGCUAAGCUGAGGCGUGAUGACGAGGAACCACGGUUCCGAAGUGAUUGAUACCAAACUUCCAGGAAAAGCCACUAAGCUUCAGUCUAGAGUUGACCGUACCGCAAACCGACACAGGUGGGCAGGAUGAAAAUUCUAAGGCGCUUGAGAGAACUCAGGAGAAGGAACUCGGCAAAUUAACACCGUAACUUCGGGAGAAGGUGUGCCCCGGUAGCGUGUAGAGACUUGCUCUCGAAGCGCGAUGGGGUUGCAGUGAAAUGGUGGCUGCGACUGUUUAAUAAAAACACAGCACUCUGCAAACACGAAAGUGGACGUAUAGGGUGUGACGCCUGCCCGGUGCCGGAAGGUUAAGUGAUGGGGUGCAAGCUCUUGAUCGAAGCCCCGGUAAACGGCGGCCGUAACUAUAACGGUCCUAAGGUAGCGAAAUUCCUUGUCGGGUAAGUUCCGACCUGCACGAAUGGCGUAACGAUGGCCACACUGUCUCCUCCUGGGACUCAGCGAAGUUGAAAUGUUUGUGAAGAUGCAAUCUACCCGCGGCUAGACGGAAAGACCCCAUGAACCUUUACUGUAGCUUUGCAUUGGACUUUGAACCGGUUUGUGUAGGAUAGGUGGGAGACUGUGAAGCCGGGACGCUAGUUUCGGUGGAGUCAACCUUGAAAUACCACCCUGAUUUGUUUGAGGUUCUAACCUUGGUCCGUGAAUCCGGAUCGGGGACCGUGCAUGGUAGGCAGUUUGACUGGGGCGGUCUCCUCCCAAAAGGUAACGGAGGAGUACGAAGGUACGCUUAGGGCGGUCGGACAUCGCCCACAAAGUGCAAUGGCAAAAGCGUGCUUGACUGCGAGACCCACAAGUCGAGCAGGUACGAAAGUAGGUCAUAGUGAUCCGGUGGUUCUGUAUGGAAGGGCCAUCGCUCAACGGAUAAAAGGUACUCUGGGGAUAACAGGCUAAUUCCUCCCAAGAGUUCAUAUCGACGGGGGAGUUUGGCACCUCGAUGUCGGCUCAUCACAUCCUGGGGCUGUAGUCGGUCCCAAGGGUAUGGCUGUUCGCCAUUUAAAGUGGUACGCGAGCUGGGUUUAAAACGUCGUGAGACAGUUUGGUCCCUAUCUGCCGUGGGCGCUGGAAAUUUGAAGGGGGCUGCUCCUAGUACGAGAGGACCGGAGUGGACGAACCUCUGGUGUACCGGUUAUGACGCCAGUCGUAUCGCCGGGUAGCUAAGUUCGGAAGAGAUAAACGCUGAAAGCAUCUAAGCGUGAAACUCGCCUUAAGAUAAGAUUUCCCGGAGUCUUGAACUCCCUGAAGGGUCGUCGAAGACCACGACGUUGAUAGGUCAGGUGUGGAAGCGCAGCAAUGCGUUAAGCUAACUGAUACUAAUUGCCCGUGUGGCUUGAUCCU
RNAcentral lists this ribosomal RNA (1401 nucleotides) under metagenome. RNAcentral's name for it is "bacterial LSU rRNA". It matches the Rfam family "Bacterial large subunit ribosomal RNA", at positions 1537 to 2925 of the family's 2925-position model. The record is from RNAcentral.